This is a long non-coding RNA of Perognathus longimembris pacificus (Pacific pocket mouse), 714 nucleotides long. RefSeq lists it as uncharacterized. NCBI's taxonomy places the organism in Eukaryota, Metazoa, Chordata, Mammalia, Rodentia, Heteromyidae. The transcript has 3 exons. The record is from RefSeq and is a predicted model, not a curated record.
ACUCAGUCUAUGUUUUCCUUUUACAAUGGUGCAUUAAGAAAUCAUUUAGAAAUAGAAACACAAUGAAGUUAAAUAUAUGAAUCUAAUUUGUCAAUGCAAAACUCAUCACAGCACAUUGACAAUGUUUUGGGGAAUGCACUUCAUUAAGUCAGCCCCCUCUUUUUAAGUGCGCCACAACUAUAUUCCUGCAUUACAUUCUGCAGUCAAUUCUUUCAAAUAUAUGAAGUUGAGAUAAUCACCACUAAUAUUUUAAAAGCCAAACAAGGUAUAUUACAUUAAAUAGACUUCUCAGCCCUAGUGUUGCCUGACAGGUAUGUGAUGUGCCAGGGGUUAUAUUAUAUUCCUCCUCCCAUGCAUGUGCCUCCUGCAGAGACAGCAGACUACAGAAGCUGACCCUUACUGAGACCAUCUUGUCUCUCUGACAAAGCUCCUUUUUAACUUCUUACUUACUGGUUACUUCCUGUGAUGGAGAAAAACUUUAGCUCAGCUUGUGAUGAUUUCACAGGCCCUGAGGACCCUGACCCUAAUAGCCUCAAGGUCAGAAGUCAAGUUGUGUUCUGAAACAUCUGGGUGCUUUAUAUUAAAGUGGAACAAAAGUGGAGAAAUCUCCACCAGUGUGUGACAAGAAGGACAGGCAAAACAGGACCGACACACUGGUCAUCUGUCAGCCCAGGCAUCAGAAGCUCAUUUUUAAAGUGGUAGAAGAUACACUUA